GACGAACGCUGGCGGCGUGCUUAACACAUGCAAGUCGAACGGAAAGGCCCUGCUUUUGUGGGGUGCUCGAGUGGCGAACGGGUGAGUAACACGUGAGCAACCUGCCCUUGACUUUGGGAUAACUUCAGGAAACUGGGGCUAAUACCGGAUAGGAGCUCCUGCUGCAUGGUGGGGGUUGGAAAGUUUCGGCGGUUGGGGAUGGACUCGCGGCUUAUCAGCUUGUUGGUGGGGUAGUGGCUUACCAAGGCUUUGACGGGUAGCCGGCCUGAGAGGGUGACCGGCCACAUUGGGACUGAGAUACGGCCCAGACUCCUACGGGAGGCAGCAGUGGGGAAUAUUGCACAAUGGGCGGAAGCCUGAUGCAGCAACGCCGCGUGCGGGAUGACGGCCUUCGGGUUGUAAACCGCUUUCGCCUGUGACGAAGCGUGAGUGACGGUAAUGGGUAGAGAAGCACGGGCUAACUACGUG
This 468-nucleotide ribosomal RNA is filed under the name uncultured bacterium. RNAcentral's name for it is "partial 16S ribosomal RNA". It matches the Rfam family "Bacterial small subunit ribosomal RNA", at positions 28 to 507 of the family's 1533-position model. The record is from RNAcentral.